AUACGUAGGGGGCAAGCGUUGUUCGGAUUUACUGGGCGUAAAGGGUGCGUAGGCGGCGCGACAAGUCACUUGUGAAAUCUCCGGGCUUAACUCGGAACGGCCAAGUGAAACUGUCGUGCUAGAGUGCAGGAAGGGCAACUGGAAUUCUUGGUGUAGCGGUGAAAUGCGUAGAUAUCAAGAGGAACACCUGAGGCGAAGGCGAGUUGCUAGACUGACACUGACGCUGAGGCACGAAAGCCAGGGGAGCGAACGGGAUUAGAAACCCGGGUAGUCC
This 274-nucleotide ribosomal RNA is filed under the name uncultured bacterium. RNAcentral describes it as "partial 16S ribosomal RNA". It matches the Rfam family "Bacterial small subunit ribosomal RNA", at positions 523 to 796 of the family's 1533-position model. The record is from RNAcentral.